RNAcentral lists this long non-coding RNA (322 nucleotides) under Apteryx rowi (Okarito brown kiwi). RNAcentral's name for it is "lncRNA (ENSARWG00000006719.1)". The record is from RNAcentral. Lineage: Eukaryota; Metazoa; Chordata; Aves; Apterygiformes; Apterygidae.
GUGCGCGUCUUGAUGAUGUCACCGUGACGUCAGAGCUCUCUGUGGGCGUUGCUGAUGUUGUGGUGAUGUCACCGUGAUGUCAGAGCUCUCCGUGGGGAUGGCGGACAUCGUGGUGAUGUCACAAUGAUGUCAGAGCUUGCCAUGGGUGUUGCGGUGACGUCACGGUGACAUCAGAGCUCGCCGCGGUGAUGUCAGAGUUUGCCACAAUGAUGUCAGAGCUCGCCACCAUGAUGUCAGAGCUCGCUGUGAUGAUGUCAGAGCUCGCUGUGAUGAUGUCAGAGCUCGCCACCAUGACGUCAGAGCUCGCCACAAUGUCAGAGCU